AUGGGUGCCAGGCUCAGGGUGCCCUCUGCCCACUGCCCCCCUCCUCCCAGCUUCGCCCCCACCCGUGCCUCAGUUUCCCUUUGUGGGUUGAUGCCCCCAUGGGAGGGGAUUUUUUUUUUUUGGGGUGGGGGCCACCGAGCCGCUGUCCCCGUGCCCGGCUGGCACGGCCGCGGGGCCGGGCUGCCCUCCAAGCAGGUGAAGGGGGAGCCCGGCUCCAGCCCAAGUAGGGGCAGGAAAAUCUUUAUAGGGUGGGGGCCGCAGCCAGCUGGGGGUCCCGGGGGGCACCCCCAAAAUAACCCCACAGCGCUGCGCACCCACCGGGGGGGCACCCCCAGACCCCUUUUUUGGGACCUGCCCCAGCCCCUGGUGUGGAUCUGCCCCGCUCAGGGGCAAGAGGAAACGCUGAGACCCUACAAUAAACAAAGGGGUGGGGUUUUUGGGGUGUUUUCUUUAUUUUUUUAUUGUUUUGUUGUCCCACUGCGCCAUUCGGGGAAGGGUGCCAGGCGGGGCCGGUGGCCACCUCGCCGGGGCCACUGCCAGCCCCCUUUGGGUGCCAGCCGAGCCCCGGAGCUGCAGCCUCAGCACAUCUGCGCGCCCGCGCCCCGCUUUAUGGCCCCGAUAAAAACCGAUUCGGGCCAUAAAGAGGGGAGGGGAGGAAAAAAAAAAAAAAACAAAAAAAACAUAAAAACAAAAAAAACAACACUUUGGCUGCGGGGGGGGCACGCCAACUCGCGCCGUGCGCCGCAGCGAGUGGCACCGUGCCCCGGCGCACCCGGGGGGCAAUGGGGUCGGGUCUCAGCCCCACAUCACCCCCAGCCCCAUACCGGCCCCAUUGCUGGGAGGGGGCUGGGGGGGGGGAUUUAUUUGCCCCCCCCCUCCCUGCCCAGCUGUCCCUCCCCAGGCAGGGAUUUUUCCAGCGAGCUGUUUACCACGAUGCGAGCUGGGGGCGAGCCACCGCUGCGCCCUACAAGGACUCAACACCGAGCCCCCUGCAAUGGGACACUGCUGCCAGCACCGGGAGCGGCUCGGCCGUGGCUAAAUUGGGCUAAAUUGAGCUAUUUUUGGAAAAAAAGGGCUCGAAGCCCCUCUGUGCCCUGCCAAGGGGGACCCCGCGCACAAGGCAAGGGGUUGGGGGUCUCGCGUCCCCUGGAGCCACCCCGAGGGCUGGAGCGCUGUCCCUCUGUCUGUCCGUCCCCGUGUCCGUCCCGCACGAUGCCACCCACCCUGUGCCCCCCCCACCCCACCCUGGGGGCUGCUGUGGGAUUUGGGGCUCCGUUGCCCCCCCCCCAUCCCAAGCAGAAGGAACCAGUGGGGGUCCCAAGGGGUCCCAAGAGGCGCUCCCCACUGCGCACCGGGGCGAGCAGGGAUGGGGCUGGGGCCGAGCCGAGGCACCAAGGGGACAAAAUAAAUUUGGGGGGGCCCAGAGCGGAGCCCCCCCCAUGCACCCCCCGCUCCUGA
This 1458-nucleotide long non-coding RNA is filed under the name Anas platyrhynchos (mallard). Its description in RNAcentral is "lncRNA (ENSAPLG00020009746.1)". The record is from RNAcentral. Lineage: Eukaryota; Metazoa; Chordata; Aves; Anseriformes; Anatidae. RNAcentral also lists the same sequence under 1 other name.